This 421-nucleotide ribosomal RNA is filed under the name uncultured prokaryote. RNAcentral's name for it is "bacterial SSU rRNA". It matches the Rfam family "Bacterial small subunit ribosomal RNA", at positions 355 to 776 of the family's 1533-position model. The record is from RNAcentral. RNAcentral also lists the same sequence under 1 other name.
UGGGGAAUCUUGCGCAAUGGGCGGAAGCCUGACGCAGCAACGCCGCGUGGGGGAUGACGGCCUUCGGGUUGUAAACCUCUUUCGCGAUCGACGAAGGCCCACUUUCUGUGGGUUGACGGUAGGUCGAGAAGAAGCACCGGCCAACUACGUGCCAGCAGCCGCGGUAAUACGUAGGGUGCGAGCGUUGUCCGGAAUUAUUGGGCGUAAAGAGCUCGUAGGCGGUGUGUCGCGUCGGCCGUGAAAACCUGGGGCUCAACUCUGGGCGUGCGGUCGAUACGGGCAUCACUUGAGUUCGGCAGGGGAGACUGGAAUUCCUGGUGUAGCGGUGAAAUGCGCAGAUAUCAGGAGGAACACCGGUGGCGAAGGCGGGUCUCUGGGCCGAUACUGACGCUGAGGAGCGAAAGCAUGGGUAGCGAACAGG